GACGAACGCUGGCGGCGUGCUUAACACAUGCAAGUCGAACGGAAAGGCCCUGCUUUUGUGGGGUGCUCGAGUGGCGAACGGGUGAGUAACACGUGAGUAACCUGCCCUUGACUUUGGGAUAACUUCAGGAAACUGGGGCUAAUACCGGAUAGGAGCUGCUGCUGCAUGGUGGGGGUUGGAAAGUUUCGGCGGUUGGGGAUGGACUGGCGGCUUAUCAGCUUGUUGGUGGGGUAGUGGCUUACCAAGGCUUUGACGGGUAGCCGGCCUGAGAGGGUGACCGGCCACAUUGGGACUGAGAUACGGCCCAGACUCCUACGGGAGGCAGCAGUGGGGAGUAUGACACAACGGGCGGAAGCCUGAGGCGGCAACGCCGCGUGCGGGAUGACGGCCUUCGGGUUGUAAACCGCUUUCGCCUGUGACGAAGCGUGAGUGACGGUAAUGGGUAAAGAAGCACCGGCUAACUACGUG
This 468-nucleotide ribosomal RNA is filed under the name uncultured bacterium. RNAcentral describes it as "partial 16S ribosomal RNA". It matches the Rfam family "Bacterial small subunit ribosomal RNA", at positions 28 to 507 of the family's 1533-position model. The record is from RNAcentral.